GACGAACGCUGGCGGCGUGCUUAACACAUGCAAGUCGAACGGUAAGGCCCUUCGGGGUACACGAGUGGCGAACGGGUGAGUAACACGUGGGUGAUCUGCCCUGCACUUCGGGAUAAGCCUGGGAAACUGGGUCUAAUACCGGAUAGGACCCUGGGAUGCAUGUCCUGGGGUGGAAAGCUUUUGCGGUGUGGGAUGGGCCCGCGGCCUAUCAGCUUGUUGGUGGGGUGAUGGCCUACCAAGGCGACGACGGGUAGCCGGCAUGGGAGGGUGACCGCACACACUGGGACUUAGAUACGGCCUAGACUCCUCCGGGAGGCAGCAGUGGGGAAUAUUGCGCAAUGGGCGCAAGCCUGAUGCAGCGACGCCGCGUGAGGGAUGACGGCCUUCGGGUUGUAAACCUCUUUCAGCACCGACGAAGCGCAAGUGACGGUAGGUGCAGAAGAAGGACCAGCCAACUACGUGCCAGCCGCCGCCGUAA
This 478-nucleotide ribosomal RNA is filed under the name uncultured bacterium. RNAcentral's name for it is "partial 16S ribosomal RNA". It matches the Rfam family "Bacterial small subunit ribosomal RNA", at positions 28 to 523 of the family's 1533-position model. The record is from RNAcentral.